GAUGAACGCUAGCUACAGGCUUAACACAUGCAAGUCGAGGGGUAACGAGAGGAAAGCUUGCUUUCCUUGUCGACGACCGGCGCACGGGUGAGUAACGCGUAUCCAACCUGCCCCCAACUAGGGAAUAACCUUGCGAAAGUAAGACUAAUACCCUAUAAUUUCCUCAGAUGACAUCUGACGAGGAAUAAAGAUUUAUCGGUUGUGGAUGGGGAUGCGUCUGAUUAGCUUGUUGGCGGGGUAACGGCCCACCAAGGCAACGAUCAGUAGGGGUUCUGAGAGGAAGGUCCCCCACAUUGGAACUGAGACCCGGUCCACACUCCUACGGGGGGCAGCAGUGAGGAAUAUUGGUCAAUGGGCGGAAGCCUGAACCAGCCAAGUAGCGUGCAGGAUGACGGCCCUAUGGGUUGUAAACUGCUUUUAUACAGGAAUAAAGUUAGCCACGUGUGGUUAUUUGUAGGUACUGUAUGAAUAAGGACCGGCUAAUUCCGUGCCAGCCGCCGCGGUAA
RNAcentral lists this ribosomal RNA (506 nucleotides) under uncultured bacterium. RNAcentral describes it as "partial 16S ribosomal RNA". It matches the Rfam family "Bacterial small subunit ribosomal RNA", at positions 28 to 523 of the family's 1533-position model. The record is from RNAcentral.